AGCGGGCACCGGGAGGGAGGGGGCGGCGGGCCGCGGCCGAGCGACGCGCGUCCUCCUCGGCCCCAUCCCCGAGUCACCCCCCCCCCCCGCAGCCCCGCCCCCGGCCCGAGGGCAGCGCUGGGACACGGCCCGGAGGUGGCCUGGGGGUGGCGCGGGGCGGGGGGGUGGGGGUGGGAGGGAUGUCCCGCCCUCGGGGAAGCCCGGGGAGGGGGCGGGCGCGCUGAUGACCGGAGGGAGGGCGUGCGGGCCCAGAGGAAAAGCCCCGAAGACCGGGAAGAUGGAGGAGGUCGCUGCGGCCGAGGGGGCGGGGGCCCCUAGCCUCCCUCCCGCGGGGUCACCUUGGCCAGGCCCCCCGCGGCCACGGGCGGCGGGGAGGGCGGCAGGAAUGCCUCUCCGCAGGCCCUGAUUUCUCCGCCCAGCCCAGUUCCAGGAACGCGCGGGCAGCGCCCGGCAGGCAGAGGCCCCGGCUUCGGAUUCGGGGAGGCGCAAGCCAGGGUUCGAGGCCGGGAUGAGCCCCUCCCUCCCGUCCCUCGCCGGGCUGGUCCCCGCCUUGCCCUCGGCCUCGGUUUCCCACCCGGUAGAAUUAGGACGAGGUCGGGCCGGGAACAGUCCUGGCUUCCGCUCGGCCCCAGUCUUGGUCCCAGCAUUUGGGACAACCUGCAUCCCCAGCCUGAGCGCCGCGGGGGUCCUUGCUCGCUCUGGGACCUUCCGCGUCCAGCGCGGCGCCCGCGGUUAGGGCGCGCGGUGGGAGUGGAUGCCGGCGAGUGCGAAAGCCCGGCACCCGCACCCGCCUAAGCUGUUUCUCCCUCCUGAUGUUGAACCCAGGCUCUGAGUUCCUGAAUGUGUCUUGUUUGGGCCAAUCUGGAGCCCCCGCCCAGUUAUCUUCCUGCUGCUCUGCUGUCAGGUGGCAAAUCUUGGUUCAAAAACAGUCCUCCUGCUAUUGGCCAGCCUUGCCGCUUCACAGUUGGCCUUGAGGAGCCCAAGAGACGAAAAGCAUCCUCUAUAGGUGAGGCAUCUAACUCCGGGUGUCAUUACGCCUUCGUUCGUGUAUUUGAUGCUUCUGUCUCCCGCCACAGCCCGAGGCCGGUGGGUCUUGAUCACGCAACAUCCUCAGCUCUUGGUACAGAGCUUGGCACCUAGUAGGUGCUCAAGACGUGUUGCACGGAUGGUCAUAGGGGGUCUUACAAUCCAGUAGGACCUGAAUCCAAUGACCAGGUAAGUCCAAUGACCUCUGCACCUUGAGGGGCACUUGACCAAAAGAAACCUUCACCCUGGGAGGGCCUUUCUCAAUGUUUUUCUACACACACUAGUUUUCAUGGACAAGCAGGUUGCUCCCAGUUGGAACUCUGAGCUGGGAUUUCCCACCUUGCUCCUUUCUAAGGUUGUUUUGGACAUUAACUGAGGUACAUUCUUAACACAUAUUAGCCAUCACUACCUAGUGUCCACAAUUGCAGGACCCAGAUGGAGUCCCUUUAGCUGCCAAUAACCCCCUAAAUUUGGCUUUGCAAAUCCCACAAGAGUGAAGAACUAUAUAAUAUGGGUGGGGCUGACCCAACCCAGAAACCCCCAGUUCUCGGCCAGACGAGUUUUUUUCUCUGUACUGGAUGGCUCACUUUUAUUAUAUUCACUAUAACCCUGAGGGUGUGUCCUAUUAUUAUUCCCAUUUUAUAGAGAAGGAAACUGAGGCACAGAGAAGUAACUGGGCCAAGGUCUUAGAAGCUAGUGAGAGACAUGGUCCAGAUUGCCGUCUCAGCUGAGCUUAUUCCAAAGCUGGUGUUAUAACACGCUAUCUCCCUGGGGCAUCAGAAAAAUUAUGGGGUGGGGGUGCAGGACAUCUGAGAGGGCCAGGCUCUGAAAGGAUUUUUUGUGGGGGGUUGUGCUUUUCCAAGAGGCAGCGCCUGCUAUAGCAGUCACACCAAGCUUGGCUUCCUCCUUCUUAGUGAAAGGUGGGUAAGAGGGGAUGUCCUCCCCCCCUCCUAUCACCCUGGGCCUCCUCCCUCUAAGAGUCCUUGUUCUGAGCAACCAUCCUUUGCUACCUGUUCCCCUCUCCUGUGUUAUGGACUGUCACCCCUGCUAGUACUAAACUAGAAGUUCCCCAACUUACAGCAAGAAGGCAGCCAUCUGCAAGCCAGGAAGAGUGUCCUCACCAGGAACUGAAUUUGCCAGCACUUUGAUCUUGGACUUCAGCCUCCAGAACUGUUGGAAAUAAUGUGUGUUGUUUAAGCUACUCCAUCUAUGUUAUUUUGUUAUAGUAGUCUGAGCUAGGAUAAUUGCUGAAAGAUAUAUUUGGGGGGCUGAAUCUGGUCCCUUAAACUUUCAACAGUAAACAUUUAUUGAACAUC
Molecule: long non-coding RNA, 2342 nt
Organism: Leopardus geoffroyi (Geoffroy's cat)
Lineage: Eukaryota; Metazoa; Chordata; Mammalia; Carnivora; Felidae
Exons: 2
Source: RefSeq, a predicted model, not a curated record